Molecule: ribosomal RNA, 419 nt
Filed under: Bacillus sp. RB1-1B
Lineage: Bacteria; Bacillati; Bacillota; Bacilli; Caryophanales; Bacillaceae
Description: bacterial SSU rRNA
Rfam family: Bacterial small subunit ribosomal RNA
Source: RNAcentral
UCAGCGGCGGACGGGUGAGUAACACGUGGGUAACCUGCCUGUAAGACUGGGAUAACUCCGGGAAACCGGGGCUAAUACCGGAUGCUUGAUUGAACCGCAUGGUUCAAUCAUAAAAGGUGGCUUUCAGCUACCACUUACAGAUGGACCCGCGGCGCAUUAGCUAGUUGGUGAGGUAACGGCUCACCAAGGCGACGAUGCGUAGCCGACCUGAGAGGGUGAUCGGCCACACUGGGACUGAGACACGGCCCAGACUCCUACGGGAGGCAGCAGUAGGGAAUCUUCCGCAAUGGACGAAAGUCUGACGGAGCAACGCCGCGUGAGUGAUGAAGGUUUUCGGAUCGUAAAACUCUGUUGUUAGGGAAGAACAAGUACCGUUCGAAUAGGGCGGYACCUUGACGGUACCUAACCAGAAAGCCACG